This 372-nucleotide ribosomal RNA is filed under the name Triticum aestivum (bread wheat). Its description in RNAcentral is "partial small subunit ribosomal RNA". The record is from RNAcentral. Lineage: Eukaryota; Viridiplantae; Streptophyta; Magnoliopsida; Poales; Poaceae.
GAACUGUCCUUCUGGAACGUCUGUGGCCUUAAUUGUAGGGCUAAGCGCACUGUUGUUCGCAAUGUAAUCUCAGCUGUUUCCCCGAACAUUGUCUGCCCCCAGGAAACUAAGUUGGAUUCCUUCUCGUUGCCCCAUGUCAUCGAGACGCUUGGUCCUUGCUUUGUGGAUUUUUUCUUUCUCCCGGCCAUUGGCACCCACGGUGGCAUUCUCCUUGCCUGGAACUGCAACAGGUCUCCAUCUCUAGUCCAUACGUUGGCCAGCACCACAUCACGACCCUUGUCUCCUCCACCUCCGGCGCGCACCCCUGGUGGAUCACCGGCGUGUACGGACCGCAGGAGGAUGACGAGAAGAUCCUGUUCCUUGAAGACUUGA